GACGAACGCUGGCGGCGUGCUUAACACAUGCAAGUCGAACGGAAAGGCCCUGCUUUUGUGGGGUGCUCGAGUGGCGAACGGGUGAGUAACACGUGAGUAACCUGCCCUUGACUUUGGGAUAACUUCAGGAAACUGGGGCUAAUACCGGAUAGGAGCUCCUGCUGCAUGGUGGGGGUUGGAAAGUUUCGGCGGUUGGGGAUGGACUCGCGGCUUAUCAGCUUGUUGGUGGGGUAGUGGCUUACCAAGGCUUUGACGGGUAGCCGGCCUGAGAGGGGGACCGGGGACAUGGGGACUAAGAUACGGAGCAGACGGGAACGGGAGGCAACAGGGGAGAGUAUGACACAGAGAGCGGGAGCGUGAUAAGAAGGCGCUGGGAGCGGGAAGACGGGCUACGGGGUGUGAACAGCCGUAGCAGGAGACGAAGCGGGAGUGACGGUAAUGAAUAAAGAAGCAACGGCUAACUACGUG
RNAcentral lists this ribosomal RNA (468 nucleotides) under uncultured bacterium. RNAcentral's name for it is "partial 16S ribosomal RNA". It matches the Rfam family "Bacterial small subunit ribosomal RNA", at positions 28 to 507 of the family's 1533-position model. The record is from RNAcentral.